This 191-nucleotide ribosomal RNA is filed under the name Clostridium sp. Its description in RNAcentral is "partial 16S ribosomal RNA". It matches the Rfam family "Bacterial small subunit ribosomal RNA", at positions 1343 to 1533 of the family's 1533-position model. Lineage: Bacteria; Bacillati; Bacillota; Clostridia; Eubacteriales; Clostridiaceae. The record is from RNAcentral.
CGCGGAUCAGCACGCCGCGGUGAAUACGUUCCCGGGCCUUGUACACACCGCCCGUCACACCACGAGAGUUUGUAACACCCGAAGUCGGUGAGGUAACCGCAAGGAGCCAGCCGCCGAAGGUGGGACAGAUGAUUGGGGUGAAGUCGUAACAAGGUAGCCGUAUCGGAAGGUGCGGCUGGAUCACCUCCUUU